UACAGUCUUUGGGGCAGGGUGCAAUUCCCUACCGGCGGUAAAGCCCGCGAGCCGUUGAGGCAUGACCUGGUGUGAUUCCAGGGCCGACAGUAUAGUCUGGAUGGGAAAAGACGUGU
This 116-nucleotide non-coding RNA is filed under the name Anaerovibrio sp. RNAcentral describes it as "FMN sequence". It matches the Rfam family "FMN riboswitch aptamer (RFN element)". Rfam says of the family: The RFN element is a highly conserved domain that is found frequently in the 5'-untranslated regions of prokaryotic mRNAs that encode for flavin mononucleotide (FMN) biosynthesis and transport proteins. Lineage: Bacteria; Bacillati; Bacillota; Negativicutes; Selenomonadales; Selenomonadaceae. The record is from RNAcentral.